UAAAAUAUUAUUAAUUAGGUAGUAAAGAAAACUCCGAAACCUAAAGAAUUUGGCGGUGUUUUAAAUAAUUGGAGGAAUCUGUUAAUUAAUUGAUAUUCCACAACAAAUCUUUCCUGGUUUUUGUUUGUAUAUCGUCAUUUAUGGACAAUAUUUAAAAGUAAUGGUCAUGAUUAAUAAAAUUUUCAUAAAUUAGAUCAAGGUGCAGCAUAACGAGGUUAUAAUGGAUUACAAUAUUAAUAAAAUAUUUACGGACAAGAAAGAAAAAACUACUUUGAAGGUGGAUUCAAAAGUAAUUUAAAAAUAAAAUGUUUUUUUGAAUAAUAAUUUAGAACAUGC
Molecule: ribosomal RNA, 336 nt
Filed under: Diplocentrus gertschi
Lineage: Eukaryota; Metazoa; Arthropoda; Arachnida; Scorpiones; Diplocentridae
Description: partial 12S ribosomal RNA
Source: RNAcentral